Molecule: long non-coding RNA, 2062 nt
Organism: Triticum aestivum (bread wheat)
Lineage: Eukaryota; Viridiplantae; Streptophyta; Magnoliopsida; Poales; Poaceae
Exons: 2
Source: RefSeq, a predicted model, not a curated record
UCGAGAGUCUUGUAUAUAGGUAGGCAAGGGUUAGAAGAAAAGAAGGAAAAAGAGAAGGAAUGAAAGAAAAGAAAAGAAAAGGAAAUGGAGAAAAGAUAAAAAAAUCUGUGCAAGAUAUAGUAUUACACUAAAAAGAGUAUCCUGUGUUUUGAUUGGUCGGGUAGCCUUGCCCACCGAUCACGCCUCGUAACUGUCCGAUUUGCUUAGAUCGAACGGCUGCGGCUGCCCUAUCUUUUAUUCCCCUCUCUCCUUAUCCCUUCGCACCCACGCCUAGCGAUCGAAGCCGCCGCAAGUCACCGCCGCUAGCCUGGAGGCCUCAUGCCGCCACCGCUCGCCCCUUUCUCUGUAGGUCACCCACGCACCUGGGACCCGGGGCCGUUUCCUCCUCCCCACCAGGCUCGAGGAGGCCCGAGGAGGUGACCAUGAGGAGCGCGCAGCCGCCGGAGCCAUGGGUAGAUCCAGCCGGGACCGUCGGCAACCAUCCCUCCUUCCGGCGGCGAUGAAGAAUUGAAGAGGCUUGAGGAGAAUGGGCGCAUGGGCCGUGCGCGUCUCCCGCGCUAGGAGCCACCGGUCCUCGUCAUCUGCUAGGAUCCACGAGGAAUCGAUCCAUAUAAUGUUUGCGAGGAGCUCGGUUAGUGUUGAUGCCUCAAGGGUUUAUGCAUGUCAGUUCCAUGUUGCUUAAAGCCACUGUAACCAUGGCUACUGGUUUUCAUGUAUAUGUUUAUGCAGUCAUAACACGCUUGUUGACAACUCGUAUGGAAUGUUUAUAUUAUUUAUAAAUUUUCCAUGGAAUGUCUACUGUUAAAAAACAUCUUGCGGGUACUUUAGUUAGGUACUAGAAAGCACAUACAUACGCACAUGCCCAGCACAACCACAAGCACACAAUACAUCACAACACAUAUGUUCCACACAUACAUCACAACACAUAUGUGCUGCUUUUGACUUCUCAAUGGUAUGAUGAUGCUUUGCUCUGCCACUCUAAUUUUUUUGCAUUGGGGCACUUUGCAUGUGCUUGCUCCUGUGUAGUUGUUCUGCUCUGUUCACAUAAUGUCCAGAUACAACAAGUUAAUCUUGAUUCGUACAAGAGCUAAGUAGAGUUGUCUCAACUCUUUUUUUUAGGUUGUUUACCACACGUUUGCCACGUGGUGAUUGUUGAAACUCUAAAUACAAAUAGCGCAACAGUUUACUGCUAUGUAGUAUUAAAUGGGAUUAUGUAGGCAAAUGCACGGAUCACAGAAGAUCCCAUUGACCAGUGAAAAGUAAAUAACCUUUUUGACUAUUGCUCCCUUUGCUUCAGCGGUUCAGCCACAUCCCUGCGGCUUCUCCUCUCUCUCUCUCUCUCUCUCUCUCUCUCUCUCUCUCCCUCUCUCUCUCUCUCUCACUAUUCUGCACUUCAAACACAACGAUGUAGGAUGAGGCAAAGUACGCAGGUAACAUGAAAAAUACAUGAAAACAAGGCAAAUUUUGGUGUUGUAAUUUAUAGAUACCUCUUGGUUACUUUGUUUCAAAAUAAAUAAUUAAAUUUUGGCUGGCAUUUUCACCAAUGUAGCACCCAAAAAAAUCAUCUUUGAUGGAUUGAAUACGACAGAAGUUCUAUGCAGUUCGAUUGGUAAUUGUUCGUUCGUUGUCAUAUAAUUCAACAUUUUGCUCUCGGGCUAUCUAUGUGAUAUGUCUAUGUUAUCAACUCUUUAUUAGUAAAAAUAGUACCUAUUUUGCCAUAUCCAUGGUCAAUUCCUAUAUUUUUCCUUGGAAAAAUUCCUACAUAUUCCAUAGACCAUGUUGCAUUUUAGAAUUUCGUUCAAUGUUCGGCCCCCCUUAUGUAUAAUUCCUGGCUCCGCCGUUGCGCCUAACACAUGCGUGCAGGUGUGGGCAUCCCUUUAUUAGUCCCACUUGCAGUCUGAAUGUGUAUCCCUAAGAAAGUGAAUGGUCAUGAUAGUCUUCCUGAACUAUGACUAUGUGUAUCCAUUGAAGUAAUGUUCAUGCAAAUACUAUAAUUAUCGUUGUUGAAUAAUAAUAUUGAUCAUAAUAUAGGUCGCAUCCAAAGUAGUUUUAAAGACUUUAA